GCCGCCGUCGAUGUAUCUCUUCAGGGACGAGAGACGCUCAGUCAGAAAAGGCUCGGAGGAGCUGGGGCCAUGGGAGAGCAGAGCCCCCCCCCUUUGCGACCGACAAGCCUCGAGGCUGAGGUCCCCCGAGAUAGAUGGUGCCCCAGGGUCGCAGCUCACCUAAGCCACUCACCUCGCCCCGAUAUGUUGGGGGUAUGAAGCCACAGUAGACAGGAACAAAGCAGCUACAAUACAGAGCCUGGGGAGAGACAGAGCAAGAUGCUACAGGCCCUGGGGAGACACAGGGCUGAGAUGCUACAGGUACUAGGGUGGGUGCUAAUGACCCCUGACCCCUACCAAUUCUCCAUUCCUUACAUUUAAAGUAAGGGCACUGGCCUGGGGAACUGUCUGGAACUUGCUUCCCACCCUGAUCCCUUGUUGGGUCCUUGGUAAUCUACUGGACCACUUAGUAGACUAAUCGAGUCUCUUCUUGUAGAACUGUUCCUGGCAGAGACACAGGCAGGAAGGGAAGGGAAGGGAAGGACCAGGCAAAUCAGAAAAGUGACGAAGACAGGAGGCUGGGGACCUCCUCCCCAGACAGGAGCGACGAAGACAGGAGGUCGGACCGUGCUGCCCCUGUUUCCCCAGGAGGUGGCGCCCCAACCAGUGUCUUACCUCAAUGAGCUCCUCCUUGGACCGGUACUCCGAAACCACGACGUUCUCUCCGUCCGUGACCCGGGACGGAGACAGAGGUCCUAGGAAGAACUUCUUCACCUCGGCCAGACCCAUAUUCAGCACUCUGAGUUCUCAGCGAGGAGGUCUCCAACCCAGAAGCCUGGGGCCUCAGGAACAGAACAGAGCAAGACCACAAAUGAGGAAGUCUCAGAUGCCCUAUAGCUUGGAGACGCCGGCAUCCGCAUGGAACUCGGGUGUCCUGCUUCUUGACCAUGUACCGCCACCCAAUAGAAAUUUUCAGUGACUGAAAAGAUAUUUUCUCCCUGCAAAACGGCUCCUCCAGCUUCCCCACACCUGAGGUCUUUUUUUUUUUUUUUUUUUUUUUUUUUGUUCUUUUUUUCGGAGCUGGGGACCGAACCCAGGGCCUUGCGCUCAGUAGCUCUACCACUGAGCUAAAUCCCCAACCCCUACCUGAGGUCUUCUACCAGGCUGUGCUCAUGAGAGACCCAUAUGAGAUUCCCACACAAAUGCAGAUGAGAUUGGAAGCCUUUUACCAAGUGACAAGGGCACCUGCUUAGAGGCCACAUACCUUUGGCAGACUUCACCCACAUUGUGUAGCCAAGGAUGAUCUUGAACUCCCAAUUCUACAGUCUCCUCAGGAGUGACACCAUGCUUGGUUUAUGCUAUGCCAAGGGGAGAACCCAGGACUGCACACGUGCUGGGAAGGAAUCUGCUAAUUUAGCAGUAACUGUGCUCUCAUAACCAGAUUUUUACAUUUUUAAAAAAAUAUUUAUUAUUUAUUUUAUGUAUGUGAGUACACUGUUGCUGUCUUCACCAGAAGAGGGCAUCAGACCCCAUUACAGAUGGUUGUGAGCCACCAUUUGAACUCAGGGAUUUGAACUCAGGACCUCUGGGAGAGCAGUCAGUGCUCUAACCACUGAACCACCCUCCAGCCCCAGAUUUUAACAUUUUUAUUCAUGUAUAUGUGUGACCACAGAAGUUAAACUGGGUUGUAGGAUCCCCGGGAGCUGGAGUUAAAGGCAGCUGGGAGCUGUAUUACAUGGCCAGUAGGAACUGAACUUAAAUCCUCUGUAAGAGCAGCAAAUGCCCUUAACCACUAAGUCACCUCUCCAGUCCCACAAAUACUGUUUUCUCUUGGUGCCGGGGAUUGAACUCUGGGCUUUUGCACACGUUUGCAUAAAUUGCGCACUUGAUCACUGAACUGCGGAGCCAGUCCUUAAACAACAUCUCAUUUGGAAACGUCUGUUUAAAGUCAUGCAUAUGCAUCAGGGACUUGUAUAGCCCUGAGCUCCCUGUCGUGGGAGGCAGCGGAGAGGAGGUUGCAUAAGUAUCUCUGUCAGAAAGCUUAUCAACCAGAUCUGUGGGUGGGUGGGAAGGGCUGAGCCUUACCAGCUUGCAUUCUAGUGCCUGGCAAUGGAUCUCCAUCAGACACACAGAGAAGGUAACCGAUUUGCCCAAACUCAUCAAUGUAGAGACCAAAGGACAGCUUAUCCUAUUGCAUUUUAUAGUUCACAGAUUAUAUGUCACUGGUCUAACCCCAGAGACUGCGAACGCUGGAGUGCCGUUGUGCAGAUAGAGAAACUGAGGCAGCGAAAAGCGCCUUGCCUGAGGUCACACAGUCAGGCAGUGUUGGUUUGCUGGUGUUUCGCUUUCUGACUCCAAGCCAUUCCCUCACCCCCGCCCAGAUCAUAGUUGCAGGACACGGUAGGGACCCCAGACUUUGCUGUGAACGUGGAUUGAUUGUACCCCUUCUUGGGAGUAGGAAACUUGGCAAUGUCAGCCUUCCCGUGUGUAGGCAUGAACAGUCGUGUCUUCCCUCUAGGGAGGGUGGCAACCAGCUGUCAGGUUAGAAAACAACCUGGCAGGCUGGAGAGAUGGCUCAGUGGUUAGAGCACUGGCUGCUCUUCCAGAGGUCCCGAGUUCAAAUCCCAGCAACCACACGGUGGCUUACCACUAUCUGUAAUGGGAUCUGAUGCCCCCUUCUGGUGUGUCUGAAGACAGCGACAAUGUACUCAUGUAAAUAAAUAAAUCUUUAUAAAACAACCUGGCAAGAGGCCACCAAGGUCUCCGGUCUCGGUCUCGGUCUCGGGGAAGACAGAUUUACAAGGGUGGGAAUAGUUUUCCUGUAACGUAGUCUGGCCUCAGACUCACUAUGUAGCCAAGGACGACCUUGGACUCCUGAUCUCCCUUCAGCCAGUUUCCUAGUGCUGGGAUGACAGAUGUGUGCCCUCAGAGGAGCUGUUUAAAAACAUUGUCCAUGUACACAUGCCACGGCACAAGCUACUCGCGCCGCCAUGCCUUUGCUGAUUCCCAGGUCAGAGCGGUGAUGGACGCCCUGGAACUGGAGUUACGGGUGGUUGUGAGCCCUAGUGGACUCUGGGAGUCCAUCUAGGUCAACUGGAGGAGCAGCCAGUACUCAUAACUGCUGAGCAGUCUCUCCAGACUUUUUUUUUUUUUUUUAAGUUCUUAGCAGGCUACCCGAGGUCAUUGACCCGCCCUCAGCCUGCUUCAGCCUGUUCUACCAGGUCUGGAAAGUCACUGGCGGCGCCUGGGGAUGAUUCAGGAAAUGUGUUUCCGUCACAGGAAGCACACCUACUCAUGUGAGAAACCCCAAACAAAUCCAAUACAAACAGGCAUGGAGGCACAAGUCUACUGUGGCCCCAGGACUUGGGAGGUACAUGCAGGAGGAAUCAGGAGUUUGAGGAUAGCCUGGGCUACAUAGAGCCUGCCUUAAAUGCAAAGAAACAAACAAAAAAAAAGUCAAAAUUCCUCUAUCCAGAAAUUAACGUCUGGCCUGCCCUUUUUAAAAGGCUCUAUCUGCAUGUACACCUGCAGACCAGAAGAGGGCGUCGGAUUCCAUUACAGAUGGUUCUGAGCCACCAUGUGGUUGCUGGGAAUUGAACUCGGGACCUCUGGAAGAGCAACCGGUGCUCUUAACUGCUGAGCCAUCUCUGCAGCCCUCCUACUCAGCCAACCUGGUCUACAAAGCAAGUUCCAAUGCAGCUAGGGCUACACAGAGAAACCCUGUCUUGAAACAAGGAGGAGGAAGGGGAGGAGACAAAGAUGGGCAGCCUUCGAAGGCCUGUGAGGUGGCUCAGUGGGUUAAGUCACUCGCUGCCAAGCCUGAGGGCUUGAGUUCCAACCUCCUGACCCGAGAGCUAGGGGAGAACUGAGUCCUACAGGCUGCCCUCUGACCUCCACCGGGGCAUGUACACACACCAACGAGUAUGAUGUAUGAGUGACUCUUCCAGCAAGGCUCUGCCUCCUGAACCUACACAGAGCUCAACCACCUGGGACACGUAUUCAAUCUCUGGAGCCUUUGGGGGACAUUUUCAUUCAAACCACCACAUGCACAUGCAUGCACAG
Non-coding RNA from Rattus norvegicus (Norway rat), 4041 nucleotides. NCBI's taxonomy places the organism in Eukaryota, Metazoa, Chordata, Mammalia, Rodentia, Muridae. The record is from RefSeq and is a predicted model, not a curated record.